This 465-nucleotide ribosomal RNA is filed under the name uncultured bacterium. Its description in RNAcentral is "partial 16S ribosomal RNA". It matches the Rfam family "Bacterial small subunit ribosomal RNA", at positions 28 to 507 of the family's 1533-position model. The record is from RNAcentral.
GACGAACGCUGGCGGCGUGCUUAACACAUGCAAGUCGAACGGAAAGGCCCCUUUGGGGGUACUCGAGUGGCGAACGGGUGAGUAACACGUGAGUAACCUGCCCUUGACUUCGGGAUAACUUCAGGAAACUGGGGCUAAUACCGGAUAGGAAUCCUUGCUGCAUGGUGGGGGUUGGAAAGCUUCGGCGGUUUUGGAUGGACUCGCGGCUUAUUAGCUUGUUGGUGGGGUAGUGGCUUACCAAGGCUUUGACGGGUAGCCGGCCUGAGAGGGCGACCGGCCACAUUGGGACUGAGAUACGGCCCAGACUCCUACGGGAGGCAGCAGUGGGGAAUAUUGCACAAUGGGCGGAAGCCUGAUGCAGCAACGCCGCGUGCGGGAGGACGGCCUUCGGGUUGUAAACCGCUUUCAGCAGGGGCGAAGCUUGUGGUGACGGUACCUGCAGAAGAAGCACCGGCUAACUACGUG